Molecule: long non-coding RNA, 1048 nt
Organism: Erpetoichthys calabaricus (reedfish)
Lineage: Eukaryota; Metazoa; Chordata; Cladistia; Polypteriformes; Polypteridae
Exons: 3
Source: RefSeq, a predicted model, not a curated record
AGGACCACUCCAGGGAUUGAGAGAGAAGGGUAUUGCUGUAGACCAGGGGUCCCCAACCACCGGUCCGCGACCCACUACCGGGCCGCAGCCGUCUGACAGCCGGGUCGCAAGAGAACUGCCGGCAACGGAGACUCACUCAGACUUUUCAGAAUGCUUGGCGGGCGUGGCUUUGCAGCGGCACAGAGAGAGACUGAGUGACUGUGUGGCUGCAGAAGGGCAGCUGACUCAAGAACAAGGGGCUCAGGUUUAUGAGGCUGCAGAGAUCAGCUGGGCCUCCAGGAGGACUCAACAUAAAAACUGUUGGAGUUCAUCAUAAAAGGCCAUGGAGCAGAUGACCACUUGCUGGUAACUUAGUUCAGUUAACAAGUAAAAAUUUGUUAUUGCAAUCUAUCUAGUAGCAAAGAGCUAUGAUGACUUUAUAGCACCAAACUCUUGUAUUUGCUUGUCCAACAGGCUGUUGUAUCUGAAAAGGUGUCAUCCAAAAGGUUUAAAAAUGACAAAGAUCCUAAAAGUCACCGGGUAAUAACCUCUAUACAGUAGAAGUAGAGGCCAUCUGUCAGCUCUUCAUCAACUACCUGAUGAAGUGCUAUCAAGAGCUGUAGGUACUUUUGAAAAGAUCGACAGAGUUCACAUCAUUCUGGGUGUGCUGAUUUGGCUUCAGUGAGUCUCUAAUGAGUACAGAAAGUAUCUCUAUGAGUGACGUCCUCUCUGUUUCUUUUUUGGUGAUUGGCUCUUAUUAAAGCUCGAGGAACAGUUGAGAGGAUUUCUCUACCAGAGGCAGAAGGUCUGUUCAUUGAUGGACCAGCAGACGGUGAGUGAAGAGUUUGACAAACUUGAGCUUCAACUGUUGGAGUACAAAGACAGACAGCAUCACUGUGACAUCUCAACUUGGGAUUCCAUUUCAGCGCCUCCUCUGAUAAACGCGUCACUGGCUUUAUUUGUCUUUGGCCUUUUUUAUUUCUGAGUGUUAAACUGACUGUGCAUAAUAGAGUUGUGUAGAUUUGAUUUAACUAUUGAUGUAAACAAUAAAGGACACUUUGUUGAUUAA